RNAcentral lists this unclassified non-coding RNA (501 nucleotides) under uncultured bacterium. RNAcentral's name for it is "partial contains 16S ribosomal RNA and 16S-23S ribosomal RNA intergenic spacer region". The stretch from base 1 to 260 matches the Rfam family "Bacterial small subunit ribosomal RNA", at positions 100 to 353 of the family's 1533-position model. The record is from RNAcentral.
UACUGCAUCAGUCACACAUGGAUAACCUGCCUCUACGAUUGGAAUAACUUCGAGAAACCGGACCUAAUACUGAUAUCUUUCUCUUCCCUCAUGAGGAGAGAUGCAACGAUGGUUCUGUUAUCACUUACAGACGGACCCGCGCCUCCUUAGCUAGUUGGCGAGGUAACGGCUCACCAAGGCAACAUCGCCUAGCCGACCUGAGAGGGUGAUCGUCCCCACUGGGAGCGAUACCUCGCCCAGACUCCUAACGGGAGGCAGCACUCGUACUCAUACGGGAGGCAGCAGUGGACUCAUACGUGAGGCAGCAGUGGGACUCAUAUGCGAGGUAGCAUUGGGACUCCUACAAGAAUCACCAUUCUUACUCCUACGUUACCCACCUUUUUCUCUCCUAUGGGGGGAAACACUUUGACCUCAGCUCACAACAAAUUCUCUCGACUUUCCUCCUUGAACGCUGAGCCACUUUNACUCCAUCCCCUCUUGCGAUUAACUCGAGCCUCCGGA